Molecule: long non-coding RNA, 607 nt
Filed under: Phascolarctos cinereus (koala)
Lineage: Eukaryota; Metazoa; Chordata; Mammalia; Diprotodontia; Phascolarctidae
Description: lncRNA (ENSPCIG00000031300.1)
Source: RNAcentral
CCUUCCUUCCUCAGGUUGUGGCCCAAGGAUUAAGCUUCCUGCGGGCAUUCCCUCCUGAUUGAAAGGCCUUUUUGGAUGGAAGAAAAUGGAGCUGAAGCAUCCAAUUGACACGAGGGUCAUUCAACAAAGGAAGAAACAAAAUUGGGAAGAAAAGAGGAAUUUUCUUCCUUUGCUCCUCUUCCACCACCACAGUAUGACAAACGCUGGAAGCAUCUAAUUUAAGUCAGUUGCAAUAUUGGAUUACAGCCUUAUUUUCAGGUUAAAAUUAUCUAUGUAUGUAUGCCUCUCUCCCACUUAAUAUUUACUUUUGUAAACAACAUAAGCAAUUGAUUAAGAGCUAAGAAAACAUGCACUAGACUUCUGCUGUAACCUAGCUUGUAAUUUGUACGGAUGUGGGUAAGCCACGGGUCGGAUCUUGUCCCUCCCAAACAUAGUUAUGGCCUGAUGUGAUAGUACCAUUCUCCAGUGUUGCUCCAUGGUAUGGCUUCUUACAGCUCCCAGAGUUAGAGAAAUCUUCUGUUUGUGCUUCCUUAGUUUAGGCGUUAAUAUUUUCCUCACUAGAUGAUAACAACAACUGACAAAUAAAGAUUGAAUGGAAAGGGCCCCA